Molecule: unclassified non-coding RNA, 362 nt
Filed under: uncultured bacterium
Lineage: Bacteria
Description: contains 16S-23S intergenic spacer region
Source: RNAcentral
UCCCCGUUGCCAGGGCAGUCUGACUUGAAAAUCCAACAAGCCAUAAGGGUUGCGCUCGUUGCGGGACUUAACCCAACAUCUCACGACACGAGCUGACGACGGCCAUGCAACACCUGUCACUGGGUUCCCGAAGGCACAGCCCUAUUUCUAGGGCCUUCCCAGGAUGUCAAGCCUCGGUAAGGUUCUUCGCGUAUCAUCGAAUUAAACCACAUGCUCCACUGCUUGUGCGGGUCCCCGUCAAUUCCUUUGAGUUUUAAGCUUGCGCUCGUACUCCCCAGGCGGGAUGCUUAACGCGUUAGCUUCGUUACCAAACGGGUCGAUACGUCUAGCAACUAGCAUCCAUCGUUUACGGCGUGGACUAC